Molecule: ribosomal RNA, 555 nt
Filed under: uncultured bacterium
Lineage: Bacteria
Description: bacterial SSU rRNA
Rfam family: Bacterial small subunit ribosomal RNA
Source: RNAcentral
UCCUACGGGAGGCAGCAGUGGGGAAUAUUGGACAAUGGGCGCAAGCGUGAUCCAGCAAUACCGCGUGUGUGAAGAAGGCCUUCGGGUUGUAAAGCACUUUUAUCUGGAGCGAAAUACUAUUGUUUAAUAACCGGUGGGGCUGACGGUACCUGAGGAAUAAGCACCGGCUAACUUCGUGCCAGCAGCCGCGGUAAUACGAAGGGUGCAAGCGUUAAUCGGAAUUACUGGGCGUAAAGGGUGCGUAGGCGGUUUGUUAAGUCUGUCGUGAAAUCCCCGGGCUCAACCUGGGAAUGGCGAUGGAUACUGUCAAGCUUGAGUGUGUCAGAGGAGGGUGGAAUUUCCGGUGUAGCGGUGAAAUGCGUAGAGAUCGGAAGGAACAUCAGUGGCGAAGGCGGCCAUCUGGGCCAACACUGACGCUGAAGCACGAAAGCGUGGGGAGCAAACAGGAUUAGAUACCCUGGUAGUCCUCGCCCUAAACGAUGAAAACUGGAUGUGGUGUCAACUAAGAGAUCAGUGUCGAAGCUAACGCGUAAGUGUCCGCUGUCUCGACGAUCU